AUGUACACAAAUCUAAGUAAAUGUGUGUGGUGGGAAGGUGCAAGGGCGUGUGAGACAGGCCCCCCUGCACACCUGGGCGAGGGCUGUUGCUCGCUGAGGCCAGUGAGCGCUCCAAACAGACUGACCUUGUUCAGGCAGUUUGUGGGGUGCCUUGGAGGGAGAUUCCCAGCUCACCCAGCCAGGAGCCCCAUUCCAGGGACACACAGAGUACCAGUGAUGGGUAGGAAGGCACCCAACACCCCUGCUUGCAAUCUACAACUCUGCACUGAAUGUGAUUCCAGAGCGGUGCUGAGAACAGCACACCGCCCCAGCCCCGCUCUGCUGUUCCUACAGACAUGGAAAGCCAGGCCAGCAGAGGAACCAGGGAGGGUGGGACUAAGCCAGCAGGAAACCAGCCCCACAUCUGGGGGGGAGCAGCAGAGUGGAGACCAUCAGCCAUUAGGCAGUGUGGGGCCAGGUGAGUGCCCACAGUGUUCAGCCCCAGGCCCAGCAUGGGGGAGCAGCUGGGUUAGUGACCCCUCUGGUUUCCAGUGCAGCUGGCGGGACACCCUGGCAUGGAUCCGAACAGGGCCUGUGCCCCUGGUGGGCUGGCCACUGGGUGAGGGUAGGUGGGGUGUGGAGCAGAUGGGAAGGGAGGGCUGGAGCAGGCCAAUCGCCCAGCCCCACAUGGAAGAAGGGUGCAUGGGGAGCUGUGUGGCCACACACAGCACCAUUCACAGCCAUGGAGGCAGGUCCCCUUCGACAGCAUCUCUCUCUGCCACUGCCAGCCCCAGCCCUGAGUCUGCUGGCGCUGAGCACCCUCUGCUCCUGCUCAAGGAGACGGCAGCGGAGGGUGCUCAGCUCCCCGCUGGCUGGGGCUGGCAGCGUGUGAUGGGAAGCUCUGCUCAGCCUGGGAUGCUGGACCAGGAAGAGGCGCCAUGUGUGCAGCCAAGCUCCAUUCAGUCAGCCACUAGCAAAUGUGUCGGAAGAUGCACAGGCAGGAGGCCCCAGCAUGGCCUGCAUCAUCUGUCCCGAGACUCCAGGCGUCCCGGGGAAGGCCUGUCUCCUCUCCUAGCCCUGGAUUAUCUCCCUAUUACAAUUUAG
RNAcentral lists this long non-coding RNA (1083 nucleotides) under Pelusios castaneus (West African mud turtle). RNAcentral describes it as "lncRNA (ENSPCEG00000014941.1)". Lineage: Eukaryota; Metazoa; Chordata; Testudines; Pelomedusidae. The record is from RNAcentral.